UGCAGACCACCUGUGCAAGGCUGGGUUGAAUUGAAGGAACAGGAGGAGCACCUGCAUUGAUGCACCUCCAUAUUAAUCUCAAACAGAGAGAAGGGCAAUUCAUUCCUGCUGGCUUGCCAUUUCUAACACUGUUUUUUUUACAGUGAGAUAGCGGUGGUGGGAACUGUCAGUAGUUGGGAAGUGCUUAAACCUCCAUCCUUGUUGCUACUAGCCCCAUGGCAAUACAGCUUACCAUUCCAGAUGGUUUUCAACAAAUGCUGACAUGGGGCUGAUUUGAACGGUCUCUUUGCGGGAGUAUGCCAUCACCUGGUUAAAGGUUCCUUCCAGCAAGAGUUCUCUCCUGAUCAGCAACCUACAACAAGCAGGAAAGUUUACAGAUAACUGGUGAAGCAGUGGUUUGGAAAAGGAAAUGAAGGAAGGUAGAAGGAAAUAGGAAAGACAGUCAAGUUGGAGUACAACUGGACAUUCUGGAGGAGGUGGCGGAGGGGAUGACACAGAGGAAGUCCGUAGGUGUUCAAACCCCACUACAGUCAGCAUGUCGUUGUGUCCCUGGGCAAGACACUUCACCCCAAAUUGCUCCUGUGGAGAUUGCCCACAGUAUUGAUUAGAUGGGCUGGCAAGAGAGAGGCUCUCCAGAAUUGACGUGGCAACUCUACCGUGAAGUCAGAACCUCUGACUCUUGGACUUGUGAUGUGAAUCCUCCGGCCGUUUAACUCCAAAUAAACCAUCAUGUGUUUGACAUCAAAGCUACUGCUCUUCCCAUGUCUCCUUCCUGAGUCGGUGACUCCCACUGCAUAGCUACACAGAAGUUUCCAUUACACUAUCAUAAAUCUAGAUUAUGAUUAGAAAAUUAUAAAAGUAGAUAGAAAUUACUCAUUCCAGUUUAACGUGUUUUGUGUCGAAGUGACUUAACAUAAUGUAUCAAGCGAAAGGUUAGAAAAAAGAUUGCAUUUAUCUGUAGGUACAGACACUAAUAAUAAGCAAUAAAGACCUUUUACUUAAAAUCAAGUAUUUUAAGAGGCUGCUGGCUGCAGCUCCCUCAUUAUACAGUAUACCAAUUAAGUGACAUUUUUUACUCAAUUGAGUGACAUUAAAAUAAUGGUUAAUGUCCUUCAUUAGUCACUUCAAAACAAUAAAGUAAAAUAGCAUCCAGGUCAGCAAAUAUAGUUUACAACUUUAUCCUAAAUGUUGUAUUAUAAAUAAUUAAAGUUUAGGGAGAUAUACUCUAUUUAUGUAUGUCAUUCUAAAUAUAAUAAACUAUAUCUGAUAUGAAGCUCUGAAAAAAAUUAAGAGAGCACUCUGUGUCUGUUGAAUUCCAACACAGAGAAAUGUUGUCAGUAGUUUAUAGAUUAAAAUCAAAAAAUUAUAAUUUUACUCAAACACAUACCUAUACAUUGGUGGUCUCUUAAUUGUUUCCAGAGCUGUAUC
This is a long non-coding RNA of Gymnodraco acuticeps, 1428 nucleotides long. RefSeq lists it as uncharacterized. The record is from RefSeq and is a predicted model, not a curated record. NCBI's taxonomy places the organism in Eukaryota, Metazoa, Chordata, Actinopteri, Perciformes, Bathydraconidae. The transcript is spliced from 6 exons.